This is a long non-coding RNA of Crotalus tigris (Tiger rattlesnake), 1889 nucleotides long. RefSeq lists it as uncharacterized. NCBI's taxonomy places the organism in Eukaryota, Metazoa, Chordata, Lepidosauria, Squamata, Viperidae. The record is from RefSeq and is a predicted model, not a curated record. The transcript has 4 exons.
GGAGGGGGGAACAACUGGGAAAUUGUAACCAGGAAUCCAAGGCAAAUGGUGCAAUCAAAAGAAUCUUAACAGCACAGUGUUUGCCUAGUGGUUAAGGUUUGGAGCAGAGAAUUUUAGAUUCCUACUCAACCCUGGAACCAUUGGGUGAUUUGCGACCAUUUACUCUCUUUCAAUCCAACCUCUCUCACAGAGUCAAGUGACAGGAAAUCCACCUGUAUGCUGUAGGAGCGCUCAGGAGAAAGAUGGGAUAGAAAUGUGAACGAAUGAAUAAAUGAAUGACAUCAGCAGCAGCAGCAGGAACAGCUGUGAAAAAUGAGUCACGUGACAAGAUUUUAUUUUUCUGCUCCUUUUCUUCCCAUGAUAGCCUCAUUCUUGAAUGCUGAAACAAGCAUUUUUCCAUUAUGAACAACAUGAGGCUCCUGGCGAGGGAUUUUAAAAAGGUACUAAAGUUCUUGGUUAUACGAAUUUUAAUGAAUCAAUCAUAAAUUUUCUAUAAUAAUGAACUUGACUACCUCAAGUACAAGGUCAGCCAGAAUUGGAUGCCUGUGUCUUGAGGUGCAGAACUAUGUGCAAGAUUGCAACUGUCUGGGUAGCAAAAAUAAUUCAGAUAUUCAUUACGGGCAUGCUAAUUACUAGCAGAUACUAAGUCACGCUUUCCCUUUUUCUCAAGCUUCAUGUGGGUCCUGAAGCUCACUCCGAAGAAACUGGUUACCUUCCUAGAAGGGGAGAAUCUCAGAAUCCUAGAGAUGCUGGCCAAGACAAUGGAUGAUGCAAUACAUCUAAAUCUGAAGCAUUACACCCUUUGGAAAUGUUAAGCAGAAGAGUGAUAUUUUUAAAGGAGGGGACUAGCUUAAGUCUGGACUCUCAUUAAUGGUAGAUUUAACUAAGACCAUUGUUUGAAGUCAACACGAUUAAGACAGCUUGUUCAAAGCUUCUUCAUAAAGGAGUGUGGUCUAACAUGGCUGUUUGAAGCAGCAGCUGGAAAAUUGUGACAUCAUCUCUGUUACCACUAACUCUCCCGAGAGGACUCCGUGCCAUGCAAAGGGCACCAAAAAGGGAUUAGAGGAAAGAUUACACAAGGCUGGUAAGAUGUCCCAUUUAUGCAGAAGGUUGGCCAAGCUGGUUCUAGCAAAGCCACUCUAUCAUCCAACAUCAUGAAUCCGAUAAUAGCCCUGUGGGUUGCCAGAGCAAAAUGAAACAGUUUCAAGGGUCAUUAUUAUUACUGGGCCUUCAGACAUAUUUAUUCAUCCCUUAAAUUAUUUCCCUGUGCCAGUUCGCAAAAUAUUGUUGCUUGGCUGUUUCCCUAGCAAUUAUAGGAUCUUGCUAGGUUAGCGUAUAUGAGAAGUCUGUUUUGUUUUCUAGUCUAGGCAGGACUUAAGAAAUCCUGUUCAUAAAACAUUAUUUGCCCAAACAAAUGAUUGCUUAAUACAACUAUCUGAUCCCUACCACAGUGAGCCACCAACCAUCCAGUCCUGUCAAGUAUGUUUUGCGAAUUAAACCUAAACAUGGAAGAAAACUAGAGGCACAUGGAAGAAGGUGAGAGACUCUCCAUCCCAAUUGCUUGAAUUUUACAAAAAAAGGAGUGAAGAAAUACUGAAACCAUAUUUCUAACUGUAAUUACAGUUCAGUUACAACAAGGAAUCCUGACUCUGUAAGGAUUCUCUUCAGACCUUCUCUACUGACAGGGCAAGCCCAUCUCUAACUCUCCUCCAGGACUUGAAUUUGUUAAGAUGUUAUCUGACUAAGUCAUCUGUCUUAAUUUACAGAAUUUGGGCAUUUCAGAUAGUCCUCAAGUUCUGACUACAACGGAGCCCAAAAACAAGAUAGUCGUCGGUUGCAAUGUAUGGCUGUGAAAGUUGGACCAUAAGAAAGGCUGAGCGGAAAAGAAU